UACUCGUUAAGGCUGAGCUGUGAUGGGGAGAAGACAUUGUGUCUUCGAGUCGUUGAUUUCACACUGCCGAGAAAAGCCUCUAGAUAGAAAAUAGGUGCCCGUACCGCAAACCGACACAGGUAGUCAAGAUGAGAAUUCUAAGGUGAGCGAGCGAACUCUCGUUAAGGAACUCGGCAAAAUGACCCCGUAACUUCGGGAGAAGGGGUGCUCUUUAGGGUUAACGCCCAGAAGAGCCGCAGUGAAUAGGCCCAAGCGACUGUUUAUCAAAAACACAGGUCUCUGCUAAACCGUAAGGUGAUGUAUAGGGGCUGACGCCUGCCCGGUGCUGGAAGGUUAAGAGGAGUGGUUAGCUUCUGCGAAGCUACGAAUCGAAGCCCCAGUAAACGGCGGCCGUAACUAUAACGGUCCUAAGGUAGCGAAAUUCCUUGUCGGGUAAGUUCCGACCCGCACGAAAGGCGUAACGAUUUGGGCACUGUCUCAACGAGAGACUCGGUGAAAUCAUAGUACCUGUGAAGAUGCAGGUUACCCGCGACAGGACGGAAAGACCCCGUGGAGCUUUACUGUAGCCUGAUAUUGAAAUUCGGCACAGCUUGUACAGGAUAGGUAGGAGCCUUUGAAACGUGAGCGCUAGCUUACGUGGAGGCGCUGGUGGG
RNAcentral lists this ribosomal RNA (653 nucleotides) under Staphylococcus aureus. RNAcentral describes it as "partial 23S ribosomal RNA". It matches the Rfam family "Bacterial large subunit ribosomal RNA", at positions 1544 to 2196 of the family's 2925-position model. Lineage: Bacteria; Bacillati; Bacillota; Bacilli; Caryophanales; Staphylococcaceae. The record is from RNAcentral.